UAUAAUUAAAUUAAAAAAAUACUAAAGUAUUAAACAAAAACACCUCAAACCUAAUAACUCCAUGUGUCGAAAUCCAUAAUCUCUGGUGCCGCCGUCCGCUUCCCCUUAGGCAGCGAACGAAAACUAGGGGUUGAUUUUGGUAAUUUUCUUAAUUUUCCUUGUCUCUUUUUUGUUUGUGUGUUGAUUUAGAGCUAUGUAAUUAGGACACCGUCAAUGUUUUCUAAUAUCUCUAUCCGGUGAUUUUUUUUCUAAUACCAAUUCAAAAAUUCCCUUUCAUUUAGUGAUUCCCGCUCUCGUUUUACUAUUCUUUUGAUCUUUCAAGCGGGUAUAAUCGUAUGAGCCAUAUAGGUGAUUUUUUGUAUUAUAAUAUCUUGAAUUGAGGUUAUCUGUGAGAUUACAAUCUCGAUUUUUGUAUGUUCUCCAAAUCUUAUGGGGUUUUUAUUCUUUAGGGCUUGCAAAAUGGUUUGUUUGAGAUGUAGAUGAUGUUGUAGUGGGAUUUAGAAGCAACAAGACAAUUGUCUUUGAAGGCGUGAACAUACAGUAGUAGGAAAAGAGAGCCAGGGUAGAUGUUUCAAAAUCAAGGAGCUUCUUCAAAAAGUUGUAGUCUUAUUGCAAUAUUGUGUUGGAGAAAUAUUGAAUGGCAAAACCAGCAACAUUGAACCAGGUAAUUAGAAUUGUAGUCUACUAUUGAAUCCUAAUUUUGAGAUAUCUUUGUUUUCUAAUUUCUAUUUGUCUUUAAAAUUUGAGUUCACAAACAUAUAGUUAAUCAGUAGAAGUGAUAAAAGAGUUAUAUGAGAGACAUUCUGAGUUAACAGGUGUAAAUUUUGUAGAGGAUGGAGGUUAGAGUUGUUGAGAAAUUCAAGGAUAUACCCUAGUGUUUUUAGAAUAACUGACAGAGAAAGAGUAGUAAAAAUUUAUAUUAAAAUAUACUAUAAUUUUCUCUUUAUGAACUUUAAAGUUAUCCUAUCCUAAGAGGGAAUAUUGAAAAUCAGCCCAGUUUAAAGGAGGGCAAUUCUCAGUUCAAUUAAAUACAUAUUAUUUAGACUUAUAUAAUAUUUUUGGUUGUUAAAAUUCUCAGCUCAAUUAAAGGCUUUCUACAAACUUUUCCAUUCUGUGUCUCAUCUACAUUUGCUUGCAUUAGAUGUGAAAUGAGCUACUGGCACUCUUGGCAAUUGUGUUGGAGUUUGAUUCAUUUUUUUGAUAUGUUGGACUCUAGUCACACUGGUUCAGUCUUAUAAAUAAGGAUCAGGGGAUGGGACAUAAGAAGAUAAGAAACUUUGUGGUUGGGUAGCCAAAAUUAAGUAGGACCAGGUUUAGCAGCAAAAGUUUUCUCCUUUUGGAUGCUAGUAUUGAAUAUAAAUUCUUGAAGCAAAGGCGAACUUGACCAAUUGAGUACUUGAGGCAGAAUGAUUAAACUUUAAAAUAUGUACAUUAUGCAUUUUGCAAGUUUGCACCUCUAGGUGUUCUAAUCCUUAGAAUAGGUUAGGUGAGUGCACCCUUGUCAAAUUGAGAUUUUGUGAUUGAUAUGAGUUGUUUAUUGAACGAUCUAAUUUUUUGAUCCUUUUAAACAACUAUAUUUUUCUUCUUGAAGUAAAUGGAGACUAUUAAGUAUUAAUUUUUAGCCUGCACUCAUAGAAUAUGUCAAGUUAUUUAUUCCUUUACCAAUUUCUUUAUAUGUUCUCUUGUUUUUUUUUCUAGUUUCCUGUGUUUGGUAAACAAAAAAGCUUUCUUGUCAAUGGAAAUUCAGUGGGGAUUCACCUCAUAAAAGCUUUCUCUUGUUUGCUCUGUUGUGAUAUCAUUAUUACUUUGGUAGUUUCAGUCAAUUGUGUGUUGUCAUUUUUCUUGGGGUCUUAUUUAUGUAAUUUGGUUGAUAUCUAGAUCUCAAAAUUGUUGAUUAUAAAGUUAACAACAACUUUACUCUUUCAUAUAAUUGAGCUUCUUGAAGAGGCAAUGAAGAAGUCUCUUCUCCUUAAAUUGUUUGGAUGAGUUUAGUCAAUAUCAUAGGCCAUGAGUUUGUGCUUUAGUAACUUGUGUAUUUAGUACAUUCUAGCUUAUAUUUUAUUUAUUAAAUAGGAAUUCAUUGUCAAGCUCUAAUUAUAUUUGAUUACUUGACUAAUUGAGUUGUGAAAGUAUAUAUUGUUACUUGGAAAAUGCAUUUUAUAAAUAAGGAUAAGUUAUUUUAUAUUAAUCUGUAUUUGAAAAAUAUAACAGGGUUAUGUACGAAAAUGACAUGUUUAAAGAGAAGGAACUAUGCAAUAUUCAGCUGCUACUCUCCAUUUAUGUUUUCUUUUAGAUAUUUAAUCCGAUCCUUAUAAUUUUCUAAAGAGAAAUUACUUUUUAUUGUUUACAGGGUUUGAAAAGUUGAGGUUACAAUUGAAAAUGCGAGUUUUGAAGACUUCGUACAAGUUGAGAACAUGGUUAACAAGCAUUUUACUAGGCAGUUAGGAUAAUAUUAUAUAUUUGCCCAGAGAUUGUGUAAACAGUAGGGGUGAUAUAUGCAUCCUGAUUAUAUAAUUAGCAAUGGGAUAUUAAUAUACUUUUGUAAUUAAUUACCAACUUUAUAUUUGUAAAUGCAUAUUUGGAUGUGAAAGAAUGAUUUUGUUGAUAAUUUCGUUUAUGUUCAUGUGAUUAUCUAUAUUGAUAAUUGUAUAAUUUCAAAUAGAAAUGACAGG
Molecule: long non-coding RNA, 2672 nt
Filed under: Nicotiana tabacum (common tobacco)
Lineage: Eukaryota; Viridiplantae; Streptophyta; Magnoliopsida; Solanales; Solanaceae
Description: long non-coding RNA (NTAB_LNC013549)
Source: RNAcentral